CACAAAUACUCAAACACAGAGAAAAUCACUUGGAUCGCCCUCAUUAUCUUAUGGCAAUCUUUUCCAAGUCACUAACCAAGACUGACAUUACGAAAAAAUUAUCAUUUCCAACCAAGUCUCUCAAGUACUUGCCCGGUUUUGGGAUAGGCCAUGCAUUAGAUUUGCACGUAAGAGAUGAGAGUGGGCAUGUCUGGACCUUUCGCUGCAUCAUUCGCAAGAAAAACCACCCCAAACCUGUUCUUACCAAGGGUUGGCGCAAAUUUGCUUCCAGCAAACAUCUUGAUGCGGGUGAUAAAAUCAUCUUUUAUGAACAAGAAG
RNAcentral lists this unclassified non-coding RNA (318 nucleotides) under Hevea brasiliensis (rubber tree). Lineage: Eukaryota; Viridiplantae; Streptophyta; Magnoliopsida; Malpighiales; Euphorbiaceae. The record is from RNAcentral.